RNAcentral lists this ribosomal RNA (433 nucleotides) under uncultured bacterium. RNAcentral describes it as "partial 16S ribosomal RNA". It matches the Rfam family "Bacterial small subunit ribosomal RNA", at positions 29 to 507 of the family's 1533-position model. The record is from RNAcentral.
AACGAACGCUGGCGGCAUGCCUAACACAUGCAAGUCGAACGAGACCUUCGGGUCUAGUGGCGCACGGGUGCGUAACGCGUGGGAACCUGCCCUUAGGUUCGGAAUAACUCCCCGAAAGGGGUGCUAAUACCGGAUAAUGUCUUCGGACCAAAGAUUUAUCGCCUUUGGAUGGGCCCGCGUUGGAUUAGCUAGUUGGUAGGGUAAAAGCCUACCAAGGCGACGAUCCAUAGCUGGUCUGAGAGGAUGAUCAGCCACACUGGGACUGAGACACGGCCCAGACUCCUACGGGAGGAAGCAGUGGGGAAUAUUGGACAAUGGGCGAAAGCCUGAUCCAGCAAUGCCGCGUGAGUGAUGAAGGCGUUAGGGUUGUAAAGCUCUUUUACCCGGGAUGAUAAUGACAGUACCGGGAGAAUAAGCUCCGGCUAACUCCGUG